This 393-nucleotide ribosomal RNA is filed under the name uncultured bacterium. RNAcentral's name for it is "partial 16S ribosomal RNA". It matches the Rfam family "Bacterial small subunit ribosomal RNA", at positions 523 to 918 of the family's 1533-position model. The record is from RNAcentral.
AUACGGAAGGUCCGGGCGUUAUCCGGAUUUAUUGGGUUUAAAGGGAGCGCAGGCGGAGAUGCAAGCGUGACGUCAAAUUUCGGGGCUCAACCCCGUCUCGCGUCGCGAACUGCGUCCCUUGGUUGCGGGAAGGGGAGGCGGAACUCGUGGUGUAGCGGUGAAAUGCAUAGAUAUCACGAAGAACUCCGAUCGCGAAGGCAGCCUUCCGGCCCGUCAACGACGCUCAUGCUCGAAGGUGCGGGUAUCAAACAGGAUUAGAUACCCUGGUAGUCCGCACAGUAAACGAUGGACACCCGCGGUUUGGCCUGUAUGGCUGAGCCGCCAAGCGAAAGCGUUAAGUGUCCCACCUGGGGAGUACGCCGGCAACGGUGAAACUCAAAGGAAUUGGCGGGG